Molecule: ribosomal RNA, 428 nt
Filed under: uncultured bacterium
Lineage: Bacteria
Description: partial 16S ribosomal RNA
Rfam family: Bacterial small subunit ribosomal RNA
Source: RNAcentral
GUAGGGAAUAUUGCACAAUGGAGGAAACUCUGAUGCAGCGACGCCGCGUGAGUGAUGAAGGCCUUCGGGUCGUAAAGCUCUGUCGCAGGGGAAUAACACAAUGAAGCUACCCUGUAAGAAAGGAUCGGCUAACUUCGUGCCAGCAGCCGCGGUAAGACGAGGGAUCCUAGCGUUGUUCGGAAUCAUUGGGCGUAAAGCGGAUGUAGGUGGCUAUGUAAGUCAGAUGUGAAAGCCUGGGGCUCAACCCCAGAAGUGCAUUUGAUACUGCGUAGCUUGAGUGUCGGAGAGGUUACUAGAAUUGUUGGUGUAGUGGUGAAAUACGUAGAUAUCAACAGGAAUACCGGAGGCGAAGGCGGGUAACUGGCCGAACACUGACACUGAGAUCCGAAAGCGUGGGGAUCAAACAGGAUUAGAAACCCUGGUAGUCC